GAUGAAGAACGUAGCGAAAUGCGAAAAGUAAUGUGAAUUGCAGAAUUCAGUGAAUCAUCGAAUCUUUGAACGCACAUUGCGCCCUUUGGUAUUCCAAAGGGCAUGCCUGUUCGAGCGUCAUUUGUACCCUCAAGCUUUGCUUGGUGUUGGGCGUCUUGUCUCUAGCUUUGCUGGAGACUCGCCUUAAAGUAAUUGGCAGCCGGCCUACUGGUUUCGGAGCGCAGCACAAGUCGCACUCUCUAUCAGCAAAGGUCUAGCAUCCAUUAAGCCUUUUUUUCAACUUUUGACCUCGGAUCAGGUAGGGAUACCCGCUGAACUUAAGCAUAUCAAUAAGCGGAGGA
This 341-nucleotide unclassified non-coding RNA is filed under the name soil metagenome. Its description in RNAcentral is "partial contains 5.8S ribosomal RNA, internal transcribed spacer 2, and large subunit ribosomal RNA". The stretch from base 1 to 120 matches the Rfam family "5.8S ribosomal RNA", at positions 35 to 154 of the family's 154-position model. The record is from RNAcentral.